CCUACGGGAGGCAGCAGUGGGGAAUCUUGCGCAAUGGGCGAAAGCCUGACGCAGCCAUGCCGCGUGAAUGAUGAAGGUCUUAGGAUUGUAAAAUUCUUUCACCGGGGACGAUAAUGACGGUACCCGGAGAAGAAGCCCCGGCUAACUUCGUGCCAGCAGCCGCGGUAAUACGAAGGGGGCUAGCGUUGCUCGGAAUUACUGGGCGUAAAGGGAGCGUAGGCGGAUAGUUUAGUCAGAGGUGAAAGCCCAGGGCUCAACCUUGGAAUUGCCUUUGAUACUGGCUAUCUUGAGUAUGGGAGAGGUAUGCGGAACUCCGAGUGUAGAGGUGAAAUUCGUAGAUAUUCGGAAGAACACCAGUGGCGAAGGCGGCAUACUGGCCCAUUACUGACGCUGAGGCUCGAAAGCGUGGGGAGCAAACAGGAUUAGAUACCCUGGUAGUCCACGCUGUAAACGAUGAGUGCUAGUUGUCGGCAUGCAUGCAUGUCGGUGACGCAGCUACGCAUAAGACACUCCGCCGUCGGGAGGUACGGUCGCGAAGAAGUAAACGUACAAGUAGAAGUUAGACGGCGUGAGACGUAGCCGAACGGACGACGACGAGGGAGGAGGG
RNAcentral lists this ribosomal RNA (607 nucleotides) under uncultured bacterium. Its description in RNAcentral is "bacterial SSU rRNA". The stretch from base 1 to 516 matches the Rfam family "Bacterial small subunit ribosomal RNA", at positions 338 to 873 of the family's 1533-position model. The record is from RNAcentral.